RNAcentral lists this ribosomal RNA (403 nucleotides) under uncultured bacterium. Its description in RNAcentral is "bacterial SSU rRNA". It matches the Rfam family "Bacterial small subunit ribosomal RNA", at positions 335 to 734 of the family's 1533-position model. The record is from RNAcentral.
AUCCUACGGGAGGCAGCAGUGGGGAAUAUUGCACAAUGGGGGAAACCCUGAUGCAGCCAUGCCGCGUGUGUGAAGAAGGCCUUGGUUGUAAAGCACUUUCUAGUAGGGAGGAAGGUAGUGUAGUUAACACCUGCAUUAUUUGUACGUUACCUACAGAAGAAGCACCGGCUAACUCCGUGCCAGCAGCCGCGGUAAGUACGGAGGGUGCGAGCGUUAAUCGGAAUUACUGGGCGUAAAGCGCAUGCAGGCGGCCUGUUAAGUCAGAUGUGAAAGCCCGGGGCUUAACCUCGGAAUUGCAUUUGAAACUGGCAGGCUAGAGUCUUGUAGAGGGGUUAGAAUUUCAGGUGUAGCGGUGAAAUGCGUAGAGAUCUGAAGGAAUACCAGUGCGAAGCGGCCCCUGGAC